GCAAGCGUUACUCGGAAUCACUGGGCGUAAAGGACGCGUAGGCGGGUUGCCAAGUCUGAUGUGAAAUCCUAUGGCUUAACCAUAGAACUGCAUUGGAAACUGGYAACCUAGAGUAUGGGAGGGGGAGAUGGAAUUAGUGGUGUAGGGGUAAAAUCCGUAGAUAUCACUAGGAAUACCCAAAGCGAAGGCGAUCUCCUGGAACAUAACUGACGCUAAGGCGUGAAAGCGUGGGGAGCAAACAGGAUUAGAUACCCUGGUAGUCCACGCCCUAAACGAUGAACACUAGUCGUCGGGAUGCUAGUCAUCUCGGUGAUGCACUUAACAGAUUAAGUGUUCCGCCUGGGGAGUACGGUCGCAAGAUUAAAACUCA
Molecule: ribosomal RNA, 370 nt
Filed under: uncultured Campylobacterota bacterium
Lineage: Bacteria; Pseudomonadati; Campylobacterota
Description: bacterial SSU rRNA
Rfam family: Bacterial small subunit ribosomal RNA
Source: RNAcentral